UGGGGAAUCUUGCACAAUGGGCGAAAGCCUGAUGCAGCGACGCCGCGUGGGGGAUGAAGCAUUUCGGUGUGUAAACCCCUUUCGACCGGGAAGAAUGCCUCGCAAGAGGACUGACGGUACCGGUAGAAGAAGCCCCGGCUAACUACGUGCCAGCAGCCGCGGUAAGACGUAGGGGGCCAGCGUUGUUCGGAAUUACUGGGUGUAAAGGGUUCGUAGGCGGUGUGGCAAGUUGGGAGUGAAAUCUCUGGGCUUAACCCAGAGGCUGCUUCCAAAACUGCUGUACUUGAGUGUGGGAGAGGUGCGUGGAAUUGCAGGUGUAGCGGUGAAAUGCGUAGAUAUCUGCAGGAACACCCGUGGCGAAAGCGGCGCACUGGACCACAACUGACGCUGAGGAACGAAAGCUAGGGGAGCAAACAGGAUUAGAUACCCUGGUAGUCCUAGCCCUAAACGAUCAGGACUUGGGGUGGCUCACGUUCGUGAGUCGUCCCGGAGCUAACGCGUUAAGUCCUGCACCUGGGGAGUACGGUCGCAAGACUG
Molecule: ribosomal RNA, 537 nt
Filed under: uncultured bacterium
Lineage: Bacteria
Description: bacterial SSU rRNA
Rfam family: Bacterial small subunit ribosomal RNA
Source: RNAcentral